AAUUUUUUAAAACAAGAAUUGUCUAGCAGGUUUCCUGUUUUUACCGGAAAGCCACA
Molecule: small nuclear RNA, 56 nt
Filed under: Tupaia belangeri (northern tree shrew)
Lineage: Eukaryota; Metazoa; Chordata; Mammalia; Scandentia; Tupaiidae
Description: U7 small nuclear RNA (ENSTBEG00000021166.1)
Source: RNAcentral